UGGAAUACAGGCAUGCCUCAGGGAAA
This 26-nucleotide non-coding RNA is filed under the name Mus musculus (house mouse). The record is from RNAcentral. Lineage: Eukaryota; Metazoa; Chordata; Mammalia; Rodentia; Muridae.